CUUUGUAUUGUAGCUAACGCGUUAAGCACUCCGCCUGGGGACUACGGUCGCAAGACUAAAACUCAAAGGAAUUGACGGGGACCCGCACAAGCGGUGGAGCAUGUGGUUUAAUUCGAUGCUACGCGAGAAACCUUACCACUUUUUGACAUGAAGGUCGUAUCCCUCCUAACAGGGGGAGUCAGUUCGGCUGGACCUUACACAGGUGCUGCAUGGUUGUCGUCAGCUCGUGUCGUGAGAUGUUGGGUUAAGUCCCGCAACGAGCGCAACCCUCAUUCUUAGUCACCAACAGGUAAUGCUGGGCACUCUAAGGAAACUGCCAGUGAUAAACUGGAGGAAGGUGGGGAUGAUGUCAAAUCAGCACGGCCCUUAUAAGGUGGGCUACACACGUGCUACAAUGGCAACUACAAUAGGUUGCGAGACCGCAAGGUUUAGCUAAUCCAUAAAAGUUGUCUCAGUUCGGAUUGUUCUCUGCAACUCGAGAGCAUGAAGUCGGAAUCGCUAGUAAUCGUGGAUCAUCACGCCACGGUGAAUACGUUCUCGGGUCUUGUACACACUGCCCGUCACGCCAUGGGAAUUGGCUUAACUCGAAGCUGGUGUGC
This 599-nucleotide ribosomal RNA is filed under the name uncultured Ehrlichia sp. RNAcentral's name for it is "bacterial SSU rRNA". It matches the Rfam family "Bacterial small subunit ribosomal RNA", at positions 839 to 1435 of the family's 1533-position model. The record is from RNAcentral. Lineage: Bacteria; Pseudomonadati; Pseudomonadota; Alphaproteobacteria; Rickettsiales; Anaplasmataceae.